GGCUGGACAGUAAACUGUUUUUAAGAUAUUCUUCUGGCUCUAAGAGUCUCUGAUUCUGUGACAAUCAAGGAAAGUGUUAGUUUGUCUUUCCAACAUACUCACUGUGAAAGCCUUUGGUUCUUCUCUACAGGACUGAAGAGGAGGAGAAUGCUUGGAGCAGAGAUUACUUGACUUCCUGGCUGUUCGCAUCAUUACUGUAAUGGAAUCCGUCUCACGUGUCGCAGCACGAUGGCCCUCGCUCGGGUUCCUUGGGACCCUCGAACGCAAGCCAGCGGCUCUCAAGUUCACUGCUUCUGAAUCGAAGGAAGAGUGAGGCAAGAUUCAUUUUAGGAAUGAAAGUAAAGCAGAGAGCUCUGGAGUUGGCAGGGGUCCUGAGCAGACAUAUGAUGGAGCCCUGGCGUUCUAGGAUCCACCAAGUAUUCCCAAGCUAAGUCUCUACACGAAGAAAGACUGAAAAAUAAAAUGGCACAAGCUUGAUGCCAGAUUAUCGUUUCUGACAGCAAAACAUCAUAAAAUACUCAUUUUACCUACUCUUCUUUGCUUACAUACAGAGCAAACAGAUUCUCGUUCCAGUACUGAAAAUUUUUAAUUUCCAUUUUUAAAAAUAAUUUAAUAUUUAUUUAUUUUUAUGAGAGAGAGAGAGAAAUAGCGCACGAUAGA
This is a long non-coding RNA of Jaculus jaculus (lesser Egyptian jerboa), 660 nucleotides long. RefSeq lists it as uncharacterized. The transcript is spliced from 3 exons. The record is from RefSeq and is a predicted model, not a curated record. NCBI's taxonomy places the organism in Eukaryota, Metazoa, Chordata, Mammalia, Rodentia, Dipodidae.